AACGAACGCUGGCGGUAUGCCUAACACAUGCAAGUCGAACGAGACCUCCGGGUCUAGUUGCGCAUGGGGGCGUCAAGCGGGGGAACCUGCCCUUAUGUAUGGAAAUACUCCUUGAAAGGGGUGCUAACAUCGGAUAAUUUCCUCGGACCAAAGCUUCAUCCUCCUUGGGUGGGCCCGCGUUGGUCUAGCCAGUCGGUAUGGUAAAAGCCUAUCAAGGAGACGAUACAUAGCUGGUCUGAGAGGAUGAUCCGCGACACUGGGAGUGAGACGCGGCCCAGACUCCUGCGGGAGGCGGCAGUGGGGAAUAUAGCACAAUGGGCGAGAGCCUGAACCAGCAAUGCCGCGUGAGUGAUGAAGGCGUGAGGGUUGUAAAGCUCUUUUACCCGGGAUGAUAAUGACAGUACCGGAAGAAUAAGCUCCGGCUAACUCCGUG
This 433-nucleotide ribosomal RNA is filed under the name uncultured bacterium. Its description in RNAcentral is "partial 16S ribosomal RNA". It matches the Rfam family "Bacterial small subunit ribosomal RNA", at positions 29 to 507 of the family's 1533-position model. The record is from RNAcentral.